AUGAGCUCACCCAAAACUCUAGUUCUUCGCAACAUUGAGAGGGCACAGGACACCCAGAAGAAGACCUUUGGAACACAGAAAAGGAAGCAGCUCAAAUAUGUUUUGGACUAAAACCGACCUCCAGGAGAACUCCUAGUGAAGGAAGACAAUAUCUGCCUGACUUGGGAAGACUUUUGGAGCCUGGGUUUGGAACAGUCCAUGGAAUCUCAGAUUGGGAAUGCUUGUCUGAAGAUUGUGGGGGAAGCUGCACAAAGACAUGGAAAAGAUGUUCACAUUGCUGACCUCUACGUCGUGGCCACCUGGAAGGAUCCACAAGUCAACCUGCUGCGUUGCUUGCCGGUACGUUUUUCGUUGAUUUUUCUCCUGUGUGUGCAUUUUUACUAAUUUGUACCAGGGUUCCCCAUUUGUGGUUCCCCCACAUAUUGGUUCAUGUUCUGAUACCCGUUUUCAUUUGUGACAGUUUUUGCUAACUCUUGUGUUAUUGGUUAUCACCGAUUUCUUUUUAUUGUUUGUUUAAUUUCUUUUGCCCUCUGUGGCCUGGCCUCGGUGGAGUUCUUUGUUACUGCGUACUAGCCAAGAAGUCAUAAUGAGCUGUGUUUUGUUUAAUGUUGUUUAAUUUAGUUCCUUAAAUUACAUUUAUGAAAUAAAUCUACCUGUAUCUAUUGCUCAUGUUCUUGAAAUAUGUUGUUUGUUUUCAGGAUUGUUACAGUAAACCUGUCAAAAUUAUAAAGUAGUCCUGCGUAAUUUGAUAUGGAUAUAUACAAAUGAGUGUAGUCAAAUCUCAAUUUAACAAAUGGUUAACCUAAGAAUACCCAUUUAAAAAUAUUGUCAAACAUUAAUUUUGCAACACUGUUAAUUUUGUGGUUACAAAGAAGAAAGUUAAUUCAAGUCAAAGUGGCAAACCAAAAAAAAUCUAAUACAAAAAUAGAAAGUAAAGCGAUUUUAGGUGAUGACAUUGCCACAUUGUCUUUAGUGCAAGAAUAUAUCAUAUUUUAUUAUUAGAAAAACAUUCCUAGAAUAUGUAGUAAAAAUUAAAAAUAUCUGCUGUAUUAUGAUGGUGCAUUUUCAGCUUUCAUAUCAAAAUAUAGCCUAUUGUGUAUAUAAAUAAAAAUUGUAAUAUGUCACGUGAAAAUUAAUGAGCCAGAUUAAGUGUUUACUGACAAUUGACAGUGAUAGCGGAGAUCAUCAUCACUAUUCCAACAAUCCUCUCCACACAGACAAGCAUAAACACACUCGACUAUCACUAAAUCAAAUUUCACACGCAUUUAUAAUGACGCUAAUUCAGUUUACAAUACGGAUCAUUCGCUCGGUCAGCAGGGUGCGGUAUCCUCGUACACUGGGAGUAAACUGCCAUUAAACAAAACAGAAGAAGAAGAAAACAUCUGCACAUGCGCAGUAAGGAUCGGGGAGUCCUGAUCCGUAACUAUCUUUUUAUUUUUCGUUUUUGUCUAAAUUAUAUUGAAAUGUUUCAUUAUUGGAAACAUUUUAAGAGGAACUUAUUAUUGUUAACAUCUUAACAGAUACUCUGACCCGUAACUCUCGUAAAACGCUUCGACCGGAAGUAGACACCUUUCGCGCAUGCGGGGUACUUAUCGGGUUUCCGGUACGGAUCGGGCAGUGACAUUGGCCGUUUAUCAAUGCCCAAGUACGCGAGUACGUACUCGCGUUCUC
Long non-coding RNA from Oreochromis niloticus (Nile tilapia), 1671 nucleotides. RefSeq lists it as uncharacterized. The transcript is spliced from 5 exons. Lineage: Eukaryota; Metazoa; Chordata; Actinopteri; Cichliformes; Cichlidae. The record is from RefSeq and is a predicted model, not a curated record.